AUCCAGCCGACGAGUCCCAAAUAAGACGAAGCACGUAUCCUGGAU
This 45-nucleotide non-coding RNA is filed under the name Schistosoma mattheei. Lineage: Eukaryota; Metazoa; Platyhelminthes; Trematoda; Strigeidida; Schistosomatidae. The record is from RNAcentral.